Molecule: ribosomal RNA, 500 nt
Filed under: Babesia canis
Lineage: Eukaryota; Apicomplexa; Aconoidasida; Piroplasmida; Babesiidae
Description: SSU rRNA
Rfam family: Eukaryotic small subunit ribosomal RNA
Source: RNAcentral
UUGGAAUGAUGGUGACCCAAACCCUCACCAGAGUAGCAAUUGGAGGGCAAGUCUGGUGCCAGCAGCCGCGGUAAUUCCAGCUCCAAUAGCGUAUAUUAAACUUGUUGCAGUUAAAAAGCUCGUAGUUGUAUUUUUGCGUUGACGGUUUGACCAUUUGGUUGGUUAUUUCGUUUUCGCUUUUGGGAAUUUCCCUUUUUACUUUGAGAAAAUUAGAGUGUUUCAAGCAGACUUUUGUCUUGAAUACUUCAGCAUGGAAUAAUAGAGUAGGACUUUGGUUCUAUUUUGUUGGUUAUUGAACCUUAGUAAUGGUUAAUAGGAACGGUUGGGGGCAUUCGUAUUUAACUGUCAGAGGUGAAAUUCUUAGAUUUGUUAAAGACGAACUACUGCGAAAGCAUUUGCCAAGGACGUUUCCAUUAAUCAAGAACGAAAGUUAGGGGAUCGAAGACGAUCAGAUACCGUCGUAGUCCUAACCAUAAACUAUGCCGACUAGUGAUUGGAGG